AACGAACGCUGGCGGCAUGCCUAACACAUGCAAGUCGAACGAGACCUUCGGGUCUAGUGGCGCACGGGUGCGUAACGCGUGGGAACCUGCCCUUAGGUUCGGAAUAACUCCCCGAAAGGGGUGCUAAUACCGGAUAAUGUCUUCGGACCAAAGAUUUAUCGCCUUUGGAUGGGCCCGCGUUGGAUUAGCUAGUUGGUAGGGUAAAAGCCUACCAAGGCGACGAUCCAUAGCUGGUCUGAGAGGAUGAUCAGCCACACUGGGACUGAGACACGGCCCAGACUCCUACGGGAGGCAGCAGUGGGGAAUAUUGGACAAUGGGCGAAAGCCUGAUCCAGCAAUGCCGCGUGAGUGAUGAAGGCCUUAGGGUUGUAAAGCUCUUUUACCCGGGAUGGUAAUGACAGUACCGGGAGAAUAAGCUCCGGCUAACUCCGUG
This 433-nucleotide ribosomal RNA is filed under the name uncultured bacterium. RNAcentral's name for it is "partial 16S ribosomal RNA". It matches the Rfam family "Bacterial small subunit ribosomal RNA", at positions 29 to 507 of the family's 1533-position model. The record is from RNAcentral.